This 406-nucleotide ribosomal RNA is filed under the name uncultured bacterium. RNAcentral's name for it is "partial 16S ribosomal RNA". It matches the Rfam family "Bacterial small subunit ribosomal RNA", at positions 30 to 526 of the family's 1533-position model. The record is from RNAcentral.
AUUGAACGCUGGCGGCAGGCCUAACACAUGCAAGUCGAGCGAGUGGCGGACGGGUGAGCAAUGUCUGGGCAACGGAGUGAUGGAUGGGGAUAACUAAUGGGAGCGGUAACUAAUACCGCAUACCAGCAGAUGUGUCGAGAUGGGUUUAGCUUGGUGGUGGGGUAACGGCUCACCACGGCGACGAUCCCUAGCUGGUGUGAGAGGAUGACCAGUCACACUGGAACUGAGACACGGUCCAGACUCCCACGGGAGGCAGCAGUGGGGAAUAUUGGACAAUGGGCGAAAGCCUGAUGCAGCCAUGCCGCGUGUGUGAAGAAGGUCUUCGGAUUGUAAAGUACUUUAAGUGGGGAGGCGUUACCCGCAGAAUAAGCACCGGCUAACUCCGUGCCAGCAGCCGCGGUAAUAC